AACGAACGCUGGCGGCGUGCUUAACACAUGCAAGUCGAACGCGAAAGGGGCUUCGGUCCUGAGUAGAGUGGCGCACGGGUGAGUAACGCGUAGAUAACCUGUCCUGGUGUCUGGAAUAACGUCUCGAAAGGGGCACUAAUACCGGAUAUUCUUGCUUUCUUCAAGGUAUGCAAGGAAAGGUGGCCUCUGGAACAAGCUACUGCACGAGGAGGGGUCUGCGUACCAUUAGCUAGUAGGUGGGGUAAUGGCCUACCUAGGCGACGAUGGUUAGCGGGUCUGAGAGGAUGAUCCGCCACACUGGCACUGGCAUACGGGCCAGACUCCUACGGGAGGCAGCAGUGAGGAAUAUUGCGCAAUGGGGGCAACCCUGACGCAGCGACGCCGCGUGAGUGAGGAAGGCCUUCGGGUCGUAAAGCUCUGUCAAGAGGGAAGAAGUGCAUGGUGGUUAAUAUCUGUCAUGUUUGACGGUACCUCUAAAGGAAGCACCGGCUAACUCCGUGCCAGCAGCCGCAGUAA
This 516-nucleotide ribosomal RNA is filed under the name uncultured bacterium. RNAcentral describes it as "partial 16S ribosomal RNA". It matches the Rfam family "Bacterial small subunit ribosomal RNA", at positions 29 to 523 of the family's 1533-position model. The record is from RNAcentral.